GAUGAACGCUGGCGGCGUGCUUAACACAUGCAAGUCGAACGGGAAUGUUUCGCUGAUGCGAUUUCGGUCAAAUCUUGAAGCAUUUUAGUGGCGGACGGGUGAGUAACGCGUGGGUAACCUGCCCUGUACAGGGGGACAACAGUUGGAAACGACUGCUAAUACCGCAUAAGCGCACAGCUUCGCAUGAAGCAGUGUGAAAAACUCCGGUGGUACAGGAUGGACCCGCGUCUGAUUAGAUAGUUGGUGAGGUAACGGCCCACCAAGUCAACGAUCAGUAGCCGGCCUGAGAGGGCGAACGGCCACAUUGGGACUGAGACACGGCCCAAACUCCUACGGGAGGCAGCAGUGGGGAACAUUGCACAAUGGGGGAAACCCUGAUGCAGCGACGCCGCGUGAGUGAAGAAGUAUUUCGGUAUGUAAAGCUCUAUCAGCAGGGAAGAAAACAAUGACGGUACCUGACUAAGAGGCCCCGGCUAACUACGUGCCAGCCGCCGCGGUAA
This 500-nucleotide ribosomal RNA is filed under the name uncultured bacterium. RNAcentral describes it as "partial 16S ribosomal RNA". It matches the Rfam family "Bacterial small subunit ribosomal RNA", at positions 28 to 523 of the family's 1533-position model. The record is from RNAcentral.